RNAcentral lists this ribosomal RNA (332 nucleotides) under uncultured eukaryote. RNAcentral describes it as "partial 18S ribosomal RNA". It matches the Rfam family "Eukaryotic small subunit ribosomal RNA", at positions 1470 to 1796 of the family's 1831-position model. The record is from RNAcentral.
CCCUUAGAUGUUCUGGGCUGCACGCGCGCUACACUGAUGCGCUCAACGAGUUUUAACCUUGCCUGGAAAGGUUGGGUAAUCUUUUUAAAACGCAUCGUGAUGGGGAUAGAUGGUUGCAAUUGUCGAUCUUGAACGAGGAAUUCCUAGUAAGCGCGAGUCAUCAGCUCGCGCUGAUUACGUCCCUGCCCUUUGUACACACCGCCCGUCGCUACUACCGAUUGGAUGGCUUAGCGAGAAUUUUGGAUCGGAGCCCGGGUGGUCGGCAACGGUCGCCCGGGAGAUCUGAGAAAUCAUUCCAGCUUGGUCAUCUAGAGGAAGUAAAAGUCGUAACA